This 434-nucleotide unclassified non-coding RNA is filed under the name soil metagenome. RNAcentral describes it as "partial contains 5.8S ribosomal RNA, internal transcribed spacer 2, and large subunit ribosomal RNA". The stretch from base 1 to 120 matches the Rfam family "5.8S ribosomal RNA", at positions 35 to 154 of the family's 154-position model. The record is from RNAcentral.
GAUGAAGAACGCAGCGAAAUGCGAUACGUAAUGUGAAUUGCAGAAUUCAGUGAAUCAUCGAAUCUUUGAACGCAUAUUGCGCUCUUUGGUAUUCCGAAGAGCAUGCUUGUUUGAGUAUCAGUAAACACCUCAAAGCUUUUGGAUUUUUUAAUCGAAAAGCUUUGGACUUGAGCAAUCCCAACACCAAUCUUUUUGAGAUCGGUGGCGGGUUGCUUGAAAUGCAGGUGCAGCUGGACAUUCUCCUGAGCUAAAAGCAUAUUCAUUUAGUCCCGUCAAACGGAUUAUUACUUGUGCUGCAGCUAACAUAAAGGGAGUUUGACCGUAUUGGCUGACUGAUGCAGGAUUUCACAAGGGUCGGCAACGAUUCUUGUUAAACUCGAUCUCAAAUCAAGUAAGACUACCCGCUGAACUUAAGCAUAUCAAUAAGCGGAGGA